CCCCGCGGUCUCUAUGCAAGCGGGCGGCGGUGCGGGGCCGUCCCGCCCGGAGAGUUGCACAUGGAACUGGGACUGUGACCCGAUCGGUGCUGCCAGGCACGGGGCGCCGGGCAGCGCCGCCGAUAUCCCUGGAAUAAUGCUCUAUUUUGUUUACCUGCUGUAUCGGAUGGGAGUUUGCAGGAGAGUGGUAGCGUGGUGGUUUUUCUCCUGGUUUUGUUUGUUUUGUUUUUUGUUUUGUUUUUUUUUUUUUCUUAAUCAGCUGUGAAAAUGUUACAAAUCUGCACAAUUUUUUAGGUGUGCGUGUGUGUGUGAUUUCGUUGUGGUUUUGGUUUUUCCUUUGGCGGGGAGGGGGGGCGGUGGUGCUUUUUGUGCCGAGGGGUUUUGGGUUUGGGUUGGCAAUACCUGAUUUUGAUGACUAACUCUCUCAAGUGCAAAGACUUCCCAUGAGCGAUGCAGGGCCAAGAGCAGCCCUGUGUCUGUAGAGUGCCUUCAAAACUCAGCUGUUCCAGCCGGUGCCAACCUGUGAAAGCUCCACAGAAUCCCAUUAUCUACUACUCCAAAAACUACUUAACAGUUUCCUUGCAGUAAUCACACCGAGCAAGCCAGGACAAAAGGGCCUAUUGUUAGUGGAAUUUAUUUCUUACUUCCAUCUGAGCCUUUUAACUGUUAUUUCCAUGUCUUGCAAGUUCGGGCUUCAUUUACUUCAAAUUUACAAGAAUUUAGCCUUUUGGGAUUUUGGGGGUGAGGGCUUUUUUUUUUUUUUGGUUCUCUUUCCCUUUGAUUUUGUCGUGGGAUGUGCCUCCAGUCAGCAAAGAAGGAAAUCUUAUCGUUGUGAUGUACCAAGAAAAUUCUAACAACUGUCAUUUUAAUUGCGGACAUGCAUUGAAGAGAUGUCUAUCCAUUUUAAGAAUUUUAAUACAGAUGCUGUUUUUUAGAAAACAACUUUGUGCAUUGUUAUGUAUCACAUGAAACACUGACUUUCACACAGGCUCUUAAUCCAGAUUUAUAUCUCAAUAGCCGUGGAAGCUGGAGGGGUCGAUUUAGCUAAGAGCAAUGGUUAAAAAAGGCAAACCACAAGAUUGCUGUUUUACCUAAUAUUUAGUCAUUUUUGAUGCAGGUUUUUGCUUGUGUUCAGGCCCUGGCCCAGGGUGAUGCCAAGCUGUGAGAAGAAGGCUGUGCUCAGAGGCAGCUUUAAGCAGAGGGGCUGGGGCGGGAGGAGACCUGUGCCUACCAUCAGCUGGAAGAUCCAAGGAGCUUGUUUACCUGCUUCCUUCCUCUCUUUGCUCCUUCUUUAAAGGUCUGCACACAAAACCUGCAACACUGUUUUUCCUUCCCCCCCAUAUCCCAAGAAGUCUUGAAAUUAUCUUACAUCUCAAAAACAAGGGUUGAGCGAUGAUGUGUAAUGUAAAGGGGUUUUUAAUCCGGCCAACUGAAAAGUAACUGCCAUGAUUCCUCUGGGAAUCUGGUAAUUUCUCCUAUUUUAGGUGGGAAAACUUCGUGCCUCAGCCCUGGAAAAUGAGUGUGUAGUGUCAGUUUGAUGCUACCUUUUGAAAUCCUGCUGACUGAAAUGAAAUUGCCAUUUGUGCUUUAGUCAGACUUGGAUACUUCUUGUAGCGUCAAGUAUCUACUGAAAAUUUGUAGCAGGCUGUGUGCUGUUGGGGUGUUUCUGCUCCUGAGCUCAGGUGUGUCCUUCCAGCAGGGACCAGUCAGUGGGGCUGUGUCAGUCUGGGUGAUAGCGAAGAACAGAGAGGGCUGGAGAAGCAGCCCUAGUGCUGGCUCCCUCGCUGCUGCCUGGGCUCUCCCUCUAACACACACGUUAAUUUACCCCCGUUUUUAAGUGGAAAUUGAAAACCGCGUCGCAGCUCAUCCUCCAGAAAUUCCUAAAAGUUCAUUAGAAGCCAGGGGACUCCCAUGCUGGGAGGACAGGGGACUAGCACUGACAGAAGGGAUUCCUUUUAACCCAAGUACUGCAUUGAAAGCUAAGAAAGCUUGACUGCUGCCACAAUCUGCAGCUUACAAACUGCAUGUCUGAUGUUAAAAAGAAGUAAAUUUACAUCUCAGUUACUGCCAUGGUUCAAUUUUGCCUUAAAUUCAAUUGGAAUGUGCAGUUUUAGCACCCAGCAGGCCUCGCUCUAGAUCAGUGCACUGGCAGCAGCUUGCUCUGGUUGAUAAAAGCAGGUAUUUAUUUAUUUAUUGUGCCAGGAGCCAGCAGAUCCCUCACAUUCCCCAGUGCCUCUUUCCCCACUGCCUGAGCUGUGCUUGAGGAAUAAAGCAAAAGUGGGUGUAGCACACAGAGUCCAGCUUUGCUCAGCCUGGCAGAGGCAGCCAGCUGAGCUCUGUGCUGUGCUGGGCCUUUCUGUGGUACAUUCUAGUUCUGGCCAAAAAGGUGUAUUUGUUAAACAGUGAAGCAUUCAUUUAAGCAGCCAUGGCACUGGUCUGAUCAGGGUUUUGAAUGUGUUUAGGCAUUCCAUGUUCUCUGUGACUGGUGAGGACAGUACAAAGUGUAGAGCUCAGUAGUCUGAUCUUCCAAAUACUCUGAAGUGUUUUGGUGCUUGUUAAACAUAGGCCUUGUCUAUAAAAAGUCUGAAAAAAAUCAUCCUGCUUUAACUUGACUGAGUGAUGAAAGCUAUAUUAGCUUCGACACUUGAGGGAAAUGUUGUAUCAAUAUAAAGGUACUCUUUAUUCCUUUUCCCUGUGGGAAUAUGUUACACCCGUGUCAAUACAGAGGUGGUAUAUCACUCUUUUCACAGUGAGACUUGCAAAUAUUUACUUGUUUUGGAAGAAAAAUUACAUUCCCGGCCAAAAUACUUCCUGACAUUGCAGAAAUUGUGUAAACAAGGCCUUGGUUUAAGGCUGGUCUUGUGACCACAUAUUUUUCUGUAUAUAAUGAUUGUAUUUUUAAAACUCCAAGCUUGUUCUAUUGCAAGAAAGCGUGUCUGGCAUCCCGGUGUCCGUGACUGUAAUGUGUGCUCAGCCCCAGGCCCAAAGCAAUGUGCUUCUGCUCGACACGAUGCUCAGGAUUUGCUGAUCUGAUGGUGCUGGAGCUGAUGUGGAACUGUGGGAUCCUGGUGGUUCUGCUUCUCUCAAAAGAAUGUACGACAAGUUGUUUGCAAAGGGCAUUUUAAAUAAAGGGCAGCUGGCUCUUUAUGACUUCCUCA
Cyanistes caeruleus (blue tit) is the source of this 3158-nucleotide non-coding RNA. The record is from RefSeq and is a predicted model, not a curated record. NCBI's taxonomy places the organism in Eukaryota, Metazoa, Chordata, Aves, Passeriformes, Paridae.